RNAcentral lists this ribosomal RNA (127 nucleotides) under Candidatus Thalassarchaeaceae archaeon. RNAcentral's name for it is "partial 16S ribosomal RNA". It matches the Rfam family "Archaeal small subunit ribosomal RNA", at positions 1351 to 1478 of the family's 1478-position model. The record is from RNAcentral. Lineage: Archaea; Methanobacteriati; Thermoplasmatota; Candidatus Poseidoniia; Candidatus Poseidoniales; Candidatus Thalassarchaeaceae.
CGUCAAACCAUCUUAGUUUGGGGUGGGUGAGGCUGCCUUUUAAUGGGGUAUUCGAGCCUGCCUUAGACAAGGAGGGUUAAGUCGUAACAAGGUAUCUGUAGGGGAACCUGCAGAUGGAUCACCUCCU